CUUCCCCUGCCUUGUUGGUGAUCCGCAGUAAGUUUCGAGCCAACAUAGGCAUCUAGGGUGACUCCGCUGACCCUGAAAAGAGAAUUCGGAUUCGCGAAAUUCCUUGCAGGGGUUAUGAGAUUCGCCCACCUAACAAGGUUAGGUUCGAUGUCACUGCUGACACGGCACGGCGGGGGAGUU
RNAcentral lists this non-coding RNA (180 nucleotides) under Desulfobulbaceae bacterium. Its description in RNAcentral is "6S RNA". It matches the Rfam family "6S / SsrS RNA". From Rfam's summary of the family: E. coli 6S RNA was the first non coding RNA to be sequenced, but its function was unknown until recently. It consists of 184 nucleotides that fold into an extended hairpin structure with a large single-stranded internal bulge. The record is from RNAcentral. Lineage: Bacteria; Pseudomonadati; Thermodesulfobacteriota; Desulfobulbia; Desulfobulbales; Desulfobulbaceae.